This is a long non-coding RNA of Mus musculus (house mouse), 1814 nucleotides long. RefSeq annotates it as predicted gene, 41453. The transcript is spliced from 3 exons. Lineage: Eukaryota; Metazoa; Chordata; Mammalia; Rodentia; Muridae. The record is from RefSeq and is a predicted model, not a curated record.
CCGAGAACUUUUUUUUUUUUUAAAUCUGAAGUUGCCAUAGAUUUACUGUAAAUAUGAGCAGAGAUUAGACUGAUAUACUGAAGAUGUGCUGAGCCCUACUUACAGUGUCUGGUCUUCUAGGAACUGAUCGUGAUAAUAAAAAUGGUACUUACUGUGCUUACAGAAGCAUUUGAUGAUGACAACGAUGACGACGACUGUUAUUACUGCGCCGAAUCCUGCCCCAAAGAGCACAAGUGUGUUCUUGCUAUCAGGAGGGUCUUCUGGGGCUGUGGAAAGAAAAGAAUCGGUUGUGAUGUGCUUCCUCCUGCUGGGUUCCCAUCCUACACCUCUUCAGUCUUAUCUCAUUUAUGGACCCCAGAUGUAUUAUAGAUCCAGCUGCUGGCAAAAUGGUUGGAAGCCAGGACAGAAGAGGGCAUCAGAUUUCUCUGGGACUGGAGUUAGCCACCACGUGGGGGAUGGAAAUCAAGGACAGCUCCUCUGGAAGAGUAGCCGCGCUCCUACCUGCUGAGCCUCACUGUGUCCUUAAAGCACAUCACCUGCUGCCCUCAUGUACCACUGCGGUGAGUGGUACCCCUAGUCACCUCAGCGAGAGUGACACAUUCUCCUUGUUCCCACCUCCCAGCGGGCUUCUGUGGACUUCCUAUCAUCUAGCAGAAGACUCCCGAUUCCUAGCCCCACCCCCAUCACCUGCCGGAGUUUGGAUCUUUCUUACCUGCCUCCUACUAGCCUCCAAAUGCAUCUCACAAAUGAUCACUUGCCUUAACUCUGACUCCAAAUGAUGAUGGCUGUCUGGUUAGUGAGAUUUUCCUUAAAAGCUCUCCAUUUACAAAAACAGACUCCAUAAGUAGGCAAAGCAAUCAUACCUGGACCAAGCCUGACCUACCACUUGCUUUAAAAUAUAAAGUUCUAAAUGGGAUGCAGUGGCUCAUGACUCUAAUCCCAGAAGUAAGGAGGCUGAAGGUGGAAGACUAUGAGCUCAAAGCCAUCCUGGGCUGCAUAAUGAGACACCAUGUGUGCACAUGUUUGUGUGCAUGGCAACAGAAUCUGUAUGACCUGAGAAGUCUAAAAUACUAUCUGAACUUUUUCUAAAACAGUUCCAGCAACUUUUGCUCUAAAUUUCACAUAUACCCACAUUCCAAAACAGCAUCCAAAGUAAACUAUAGUCAAGCUAUGAAUACAUAUCAAACUUAACAUAAACCUCACCUUUAAAAAUAAUAUAGAAUUCAUUAGUGAUAGAGCUAUAAAGUAAAAAUAAGCCCUGAAUGAAUAAACAAUUUUCACACUAUGAGCCAAGACACUUUAAAAUAAAAUAUUAGAAUACAUAAAACAUGAUUGAGAUUUUGAGUUUUGAGUGUUGAAGUCAUGCCAAACACAAUUUGGUUUAUGUUGGGGACCAAUGUUUUCAGGAAAUUUUCUUAUUAGCUACAAAGGAAAAUAGUUGAAAGACUCAAUCUCAGAUCUGAAUGGGAAAAUCACACACUAGACUGAACCCAUAAGCCACCCUAAACUGCCUCAACUAUAAAGAGGUAGGCAUAAAGUGGCCAACAGUGCAUAUUUAAUGCAUGUGUCCCAAAGACUGUCACACAGCAUUGCUUCUGUACUGUGCACAUAGCUGUCCUUAGGAUGGGGCUAAGAUGGGAGGAGAGUCCUAGGUGCAUCUCUGUAUACUCAGCCAUCCAAAUUGGCUGUUCACUUUCAUGAUAACCUGCCAUAGGUUUAAGAUACAUAUAAAAGGAAUCUGUCUUAUUUUUUCACUUGUAGAGAAAGGGAACUUUACAAGCUUAUUACCUGUACAGUAAAUUUUUGACUCAAAA